AGGCUAAGGGCACGUCUGCCUGGGUGUCACGUAUUGUGUUGCCCCCAUACUUGAAUGAAUGGGGAGCGAAGCUUGGCCUCCCGUGGUUUCAUAUUCGCGGAUGGCUUAAAAUUGAGCCUCGAGACGGCGAUACGUCACGACAAGUGGUGGUUAUAAGGCUUUUGUCCUUUGAUUAUUCAUGUCGUGUCUGUCGCAUCUCAUCACUCAAACGGAAACCCAAACGGAACGUCCUUGANCGUGCCAGC
Molecule: ribosomal RNA, 245 nt
Filed under: Phedimus aizoon
Lineage: Eukaryota; Viridiplantae; Streptophyta; Magnoliopsida; Saxifragales; Crassulaceae
Description: partial 28S ribosomal RNA
Source: RNAcentral